Molecule: non-coding RNA, 272 nt
Organism: Carcharodon carcharias (great white shark)
Lineage: Eukaryota; Metazoa; Chordata; Chondrichthyes; Lamniformes; Lamnidae
Product: small Cajal body-specific RNA 6
Exons: 1
Source: RefSeq, a predicted model, not a curated record
GGUCAGUGAUGAUAGGUAAAAGGUCUGAUGGCACUUUAUUAAAUACCCACAUACUCGCUCCCAGGCACAUCUGCAUUUUCCAUCCUGCACUAGAUGGGUUGUGAUGGUAGCAGAGUUCCUGACAGUAACCGCUGCUGCUGUUUUAGUUGACAUUCACGUAGAGAUUUGGAAUGUCUUUACAGCAGGCAUCUCACAAAAUUGGAUACACAGGAGUGUUUGAGUGUUGUGGGAUUUAUCUCUGGUGCAUGACCGCAAGUUUUCAAGCUGAGACC